RNAcentral lists this ribosomal RNA (317 nucleotides) under uncultured bacterium. RNAcentral's name for it is "partial 16S ribosomal RNA". It matches the Rfam family "Bacterial small subunit ribosomal RNA", at positions 355 to 664 of the family's 1533-position model. The record is from RNAcentral.
UAGGGAAUCUUCGGCAAUGGGGGCAACCCUGACCGAGCAACGCCGCGUGAGUGAAGAAGGUUUUCGGAUCGUAAAGCUCUGUUGUAAGUCAAGAACGGGUGUGAGAGUGGAAAGUUCACACUGUGACGGUAGCUUACCAGAAAGGGACGGCUAACUACGUGCCAGCAGCCGCGGUAAUACGUAGGUCCCGAGCGUUGUCCGGAUUUAUUGGGCGUAAAGCGAGCGCAGGCGGUUUGAUAAGUCUGAAGUUAAAGGCUGUGGCUCAACCAUAGUUCGCUUUGGAAACUGUCAAACUUGAGUGCAGAAGGGGAGAGUGG